Molecule: ribosomal RNA, 256 nt
Filed under: uncultured bacterium
Lineage: Bacteria
Description: partial 16S ribosomal RNA
Rfam family: Bacterial small subunit ribosomal RNA
Source: RNAcentral
UACGUAGGUGGCAAGCGUUGUCCGGAUUUAUUGGGUUUAAAGGGUGCGUAGGCGGUUCUGUAAGUCAGUGGUGAAAUACUCCAGCUUAACUGGAGGGGUGCCAAUGAUACUGCAGAACUUGAGUACAGAUGAGGUAGGCGGAAUUGACGGUGUAGCGGUGAAAUGCAUAGAUAUCGUCAAGAACACCUAUAGCGAAGGCAGCUUACUGGGCUGUAACUGACGCUGAGGCACGAAAGCGUGGGGGAUCAAAACAGGG